RNAcentral lists this ribosomal RNA (496 nucleotides) under uncultured bacterium. RNAcentral describes it as "partial 16S ribosomal RNA". It matches the Rfam family "Bacterial small subunit ribosomal RNA", at positions 28 to 506 of the family's 1533-position model. The record is from RNAcentral.
GAUGAACGCUGGCGGCGUGCCUAAUACAUGCAAGUCGAGCGAACGGACGAGAAGCUUGCUUUUCUGAUGUUAGCGGCGGACGGGUGAGUAACACGUGGAUAACCUACCUAUAAGACUGGGAUAACUUCGGGAAACCGGAGCUAAUACCGGAUAAUAUUUUGAACCGCAUGGUUCAAAAGUGAAAGACGGUCUUGCUGUCACUUGUAGAUGGAUCCGCGCUGCAUUAGCUAGUUGGUAAGGUAACGGCUUACCAAGGCAACGAUGCAUAGCCGACCUGAGAGGGUGAUCGGCCACACUGGAACUGAGACACGGUCCAGACUCCUACGGGAGGCAGCAGUAGGGAAUCUUCCGCAAUGGGCGAAAGCCUGACGGAGCAACGCCGCGUGAGUGAAGAAGGUCUUCGGAUCGUAAAACUCUGUUAUUAGGGAAGAACAUAUGUGUAAGUAACUGUGCACAUCUUGACGGUACCUAAUCAGAAAGCCACGGCUAACUACGU